RNAcentral lists this ribosomal RNA (279 nucleotides) under uncultured bacterium. RNAcentral describes it as "partial 16S ribosomal RNA". It matches the Rfam family "Bacterial small subunit ribosomal RNA", at positions 506 to 784 of the family's 1533-position model. The record is from RNAcentral.
UGCCAGCCGCCGCGGUAAUACGGCGGGUGCGAUCUUUAAUCGGAAUUACUGGGUGUAAAGGGUGCGCAGGCGGACUUGUGCGUCAGAGGUUAAAUGUCACCGCUCAACGGUGAACCUGCCUUUGAUACGGCGAGUCUUGAGUACGAGAGAGGUAGGUAGAAUUCCUGGUGUAGCGGUGAAAUGCGUAGAUAUCAGGAGGAAUACCAGUGGCGAAGGCGGCCUACUGGCUCGUAACUGACGCUCAUGCACGAAAGCGUGGGUAGCGAACAGGAUUAGAUA